UAGUCAUAUGCUUGUCUCAAAGACUAAGCCAUGCAUGUCUAAGUAUAAACACCUUUAUACAGCGAAACUGCGAACGGCUCAUUAUAUCAGUUAUAAUCUACUUGAUCGUAUCCUCUUACUUGGAUAACCGUAGUAAUUCUAGAGCUAAUACAUGCAAAAGACCCCGACUGGUGACGGAAGGGGUGUAUUUAUUAGGUCCAAAAUCAAUACUGCUUCACGGCAGGCUCAUUGAUGAUUCAUAAUAACUAAACGAAGCGCAGGGCUUGUCUCGGCGCUG
This 277-nucleotide ribosomal RNA is filed under the name uncultured eukaryote. RNAcentral's name for it is "partial 18S ribosomal RNA". It matches the Rfam family "Eukaryotic small subunit ribosomal RNA", at positions 21 to 292 of the family's 1831-position model. The record is from RNAcentral.